This 162-nucleotide ribosomal RNA is filed under the name uncultured bacterium. Its description in RNAcentral is "partial 16S rRNA". It matches the Rfam family "Bacterial small subunit ribosomal RNA", at positions 355 to 511 of the family's 1533-position model. The record is from RNAcentral.
UAGGGAAUCUUCCACAGUGGGCGAAGCCUGAUGGAGCAACGCCGCGUGUGUGAUGAAGGGUUUCGGCUCGUAAACACUGUUGUAAGAGAAGAAUGACAUUGAGAGUAACUGUUCAAUGUGUGACGGUAUCUUACCAGAAAGGAACGGCUAAAUACGUGCUAG